This 484-nucleotide ribosomal RNA is filed under the name uncultured bacterium. Its description in RNAcentral is "partial 16S ribosomal RNA". It matches the Rfam family "Bacterial small subunit ribosomal RNA", at positions 30 to 507 of the family's 1533-position model. The record is from RNAcentral.
AUUGAACGCUGGCGGAAUGCUUUACACAUGCAAGUCGAACGGCAGCACGGGGGCAGCCCUGGUGGCGAGUGGCGAACGGGUGAGUAAUUCAUCGGAACGUGCCCGGUCGUGGGGGAUAACGUAGCGAAAGUUACGCUAAUACCGCAUACGAUCUGAGGAUGAAAGCGGGGGACCUUCGGGCCUCGCGCGAUCGGAGCGGCCGAUGUCAGAUUAGGUAGUUGGUGGGGUAAAGGCCUACCAAGCCGACGAUCUGUAGCUGGUCUGAGAGGACGACCAGCCACACUGGGACUGAGACACGGCCCAGACUCCUACGGGAGGCAGCAGUGGGGAAUUUUGGACAAUGGGCGCAAGCCUGAUCCAGCCAUUCCGCGUGCAGGACGAAGGCCUUCGGGUUGUAAACUGCUUUUGUACGGAACGAAAAGGCUCUGGCUAAUACCUGGGGCUCAUGACGGUACCGUAAGAAUAAGCACCGGCUAACUACGUG